This 301-nucleotide ribosomal RNA is filed under the name uncultured bacterium. Its description in RNAcentral is "partial 16S ribosomal RNA". It matches the Rfam family "Bacterial small subunit ribosomal RNA", at positions 509 to 807 of the family's 1533-position model. The record is from RNAcentral.
CAGUAGCCGCGGUAAUACGUAGGUGGCAAGCGUUGUCCGGAAUUAUUGGGCGUAAAGGGCUCGCAGGCGGUUUCUUAAGUCUGAUGUGAAAGCCCCCGGCUCAACCGGGGAGGGUCAUUGGAAACUGGGAAACUUGAGUGCAGAAGAGGAGAGUGGAAUUCUACGUGUAGCGGUGAAAUGCGUAGAGAUGAGGAGGAACACCAGUGGCGAAGGCGGCUCACUGGCUCAUUCUAGACGCUGAGGUGCGAAAGCGUGGGGAGCAAACAGGAUUAGAUACCCCAGUAGUCCCUGUCUCUUAUAC